GGAAGUGCUGUCGCUCAACGGAUAAAAGGUACUCCGGGGAUAACAGGCUUAUCGAGCCCAAGAGUCCACAUCGACGGCUCGGUUUGGCACCUCGAUGUCGGCUCGUCGCAUCCUGGGGCUGGAGUAGGUCCCAAGGGUUGGGCUGUUCGCCCAUUAAAGCGGUACGCGAGCUGGGUUCAGAACGUCGUGAGACAGUUCGGUCCCUAUCUGCCAUGGGCGUUGGAGAAUUGAGAGGAGUCAUCCUUAGUACGAGAGGACCGGGAUGAACGGGCCGCUGGUGUACCUGUUGUCCUGCCAAGGGCAUGGCAGGUUAGCUACGCCCGGAUCGGAUAACCGCUGAAGGCAUCUAAGCGGGAAGCCGACCUCGAGAUGAAUUCUGCCAUUCCUAUAAGGAAGUAAGACCCCUGAUAGAUCAUCAGGUUGAUAGGCCGGCUGUGUACGUGCAGUGAUGCGCUCAGCAGACCGGUACUAAUGGGUCGAGGUCUUGACGUU
This 492-nucleotide ribosomal RNA is filed under the name Solirubrobacterales bacterium. RNAcentral describes it as "partial 23S ribosomal RNA". It matches the Rfam family "Bacterial large subunit ribosomal RNA", at positions 2435 to 2925 of the family's 2925-position model. The record is from RNAcentral. Lineage: Bacteria; Bacillati; Actinomycetota; Thermoleophilia; Solirubrobacterales.